UUUCUUUCUUUUUUUUUUUCAGCUUGCAAUUGGGUUUUAUGUUUGAUUGCUGGGUUAUGUUGGAUUGUUGGGUUUUCAAUUGUGUCGAUUUGCAUUGUUUGAAAAAAUUGCUUGUUGAAUGUUUAUUGCUGGGUUAAAUUUGUAUGAGAUUUAAUUGUUGAAUGAAUUUGUUGAAAUUGAACAUGGAUUGGUAAUUGAUUAUGGGUUAUUGUAUUUUUUUUUUCCCUUUCUUUUGUAUUGAUUUCAUGUAGUUUUUUUUGCCUCUAUUUCUGUUUGAUUCAUGGAGUUUGUUUACCUCUGUAUUGCAUCUGGGUAUUAGAUUUGUGAAGGGUGCCUAAAUCGACCCCUUUUUUUCUUCUGCAUUUCAUCGGUCUUUUGGCAUCUUCAUUGCAUCUGGGAUACAGAACCGACAGUUUCAAACCGAACCGAUUGGGUUCCUCUCUUAAUUCGGUUUGGUUCGGUUAGCAUUUUACAUGAUUUCAGUUUUUUGGUUUUCUGGUUUCGGUUCGGUGUAAAUGAGAGUAUGUGGCUGGUGUUGGAUUGUGGAUUCUGGGAAUUCGGUCCCCUGAAUUUCGUUUGUUUUGUUGCAUAUCAAACAAUUUCGUGCAAACUUGCCAGUAAAGGUGCAAUCUUUUAGGUGUAUGUGUGUGAAAAUUAAUGCUGCUGUUCGGAAAUUGCUUCAUAGUGCGUAAAGGUUCUGAAAGUGAGAGACAUUUGGCCUAUCUGUAGAAGGUGGUGCUAGUGGUAGAAUUUUAGUCUCGAAGAGUGUUCUCUUCUCUAUAUCUGAUAUAGCAGUGCAUUUAGGAGUAUAUGUAGAUUCUAAAUGAAUAUUUGGACUUAAAGCAUCUUGUACAUAAUAUGGGACUUUGAUUUUGUGUCUGAAUCUUGAUUAUUGAUACACAAAGAAGUCUAAAUGAGCUCAACAAUGUCAUGUUCUCAGAAAUUCACAUUAAGGCAUAAAAUUGGUCCAUUCCCAAUUUUGAGAAUGAUUUAAUUUAUUUUUUGGUCCUUGGGAGAAAAGAAGAGGGGGAAGGGAGAGGGGGUGCUGGUGGAAGGUAAUUAAUGGGCAUUAAAAUCACUCUGUGGUUACUUAGACCUUUAGGCUAGUGUAUCCUUAUUCAUCAUUUGAUCCUUCCCUAGGAAAAUAUGCAGUGCAAAUUAAACCACUCUGUGGUUACAUUGACCGCUGUGAAAGUAUAUUGUUAUUCGUCAUCUGAUCCUUCCCUUGGAAAAUCUGGAGUGCAAAUACAAGCUGGAAAACUUUUGGGCAUUGGAUUCAGAAUGAUUUGGAAUAGACUACAAGCAUAAGAAGCAUACCUAGUGACUAGCAAUUAUGUUUUGGUGUUUUAGCAGUAUGCUGUUUAGAAUUCUUGAGAAGGAUCUGAGGUUCCUAGAUGAAUUUCUUUGGUCAACGAAGCUUGGAUUUAGCCUGGUUCUUGUGGUUGGUCUAGUGAUGCUAAGGUUUUAGCUUGUUAAGAUAGUUUUCUGGAGGCCAUGAAAGUGAACAAUUUACUGCAAUUGAAUGAGAGGUUUUCUCAUUUGAAACCAUGAGGGAGGUUUUCUCUUUUGAAACCAUGAGGUUAAGUCUUGUUAUGGUAUUGUGAUUGCUUGUUCCACUGGAAGAGUGUAAGGUGGUUGGGCGUUCCUAUUGUAUUGUUGUCUUUUAUUAGGAUGACAGUGGGCAAAUUUGGUUAAGAAGGGACAAUUAUUAUGGGCUACUGAUCUAUGUACAGAAGCAAGAAGGAAACUGACAGGCAUUCUUGUAGUUCAGUGGACAGUUGUGGAAUCCCAUGUUAGUUGGAGGCUUUUACAAAAGCACUUGUGAGGAAAAGACCAAAGAAUAUUCAUUUAAGAAUUAAAGAAUAUUUGAAAUUUUUAUGAUCAAAUUGUUGCUGGCAUUUGAGGAUUGCAAUCUCUUUCUGAUCCUGCACCUUUAUCAUGUUCAUUCAAACUUAUAUGAAGUUUCAUCUGUCAAUUGACAUAUAUGUGCUUCAUUUGUUGAAUUUUACUAUUUGUUUAAUUCACUAUGGAACCAUUUCAUAUCUUUAUGAAGUCCCUUGUUAACUUCCUAGUGGUUGACCCAAUAACAAUGAAAGGAAUUUAAAAUUGUGUCAUCUCUUGCUUCGUAGAUUGGUAGUAAUUUGAUGUAUUUUUGAGUGGGAUGAGUUUUUUUCCAGAUUAAAUGAUGACUCGUGGCGUUAUCUGAUACUUUGUGCAUUUAGAAUUUUGUUUUAUUUUUACUAUGAGGGAGUAAUUUGGGUGAUGUUUGAUUUGGGUGCUUGUCCGUUAAACUAUUUAGAUGCCAACUCUUCUUGAAAUUGCACAAACAUGCUGCAUUAACUCAUUCUGUGUAUUUGUUUUUUCAGGUGACAAUUUGUCAGAAUUGUGGU
This 2390-nucleotide unclassified non-coding RNA is filed under the name Hevea brasiliensis (rubber tree). The record is from RNAcentral. Lineage: Eukaryota; Viridiplantae; Streptophyta; Magnoliopsida; Malpighiales; Euphorbiaceae.